AUUGAACGCUGGCGGCAUGCUUUACACAUGCAAGUCGAACGGUAACAGGCCUUCGGGUGCUGACGAGUGGCGGACGGGUGAGUAAGGCAUCGGAACGUGCCCGGAGGUGGGGGUUAACGCAGCGAAAGCUGUGCUAAUACCGGCUGUGAUCUGAGGAUGAAAGCGGGGGACCACGCAGCAAUGUUUGGCCUCGCGCCUCUGGAGCGGCCGAUGUCAGAUUAGGUAGUUGGUGGGGUAAAGGCCUACCAAGCCGACGAUCUGUAGCUGGUCUGAGAGGACGACCAGCCACACUGGGACUGAGACACGGCCCAGACUCCUACGGGAGGCAGCAGUGGGGAAUUUUGGACAAUGGGCGCAAGCCUGAUCCAGCAAUGCCGCGUGCGGGAAGAAGGCCUUCGGGUUGUAAACCGCUUUUGUACGGAACGAAAAGGCUCUGGCUAAUACCUGGGGCUGAUGACGGUACCGUAAGAAUAAGCACCGGCUAACUACGUG
RNAcentral lists this ribosomal RNA (492 nucleotides) under uncultured bacterium. Its description in RNAcentral is "partial 16S ribosomal RNA". It matches the Rfam family "Bacterial small subunit ribosomal RNA", at positions 29 to 507 of the family's 1533-position model. The record is from RNAcentral.